CCUGAACUGGGUUUUCUUUUGUAGAGAGAGAAAGAGAGAACCAGAAAGGAAGAGUGAGAAAGAACCUCAUCCCCAAAUACCCAUUUCAUCGCCUCUCUUUUAGAUCUGAGACCCUACAGCGCUCUCUCUCAAAUUCAUGUCCGCCAUCGCAACAAUAACCACCGCUGAAACCAGUUGGAACCAUCUUCCAUCGAUCUUGCAGCUAGGGUUCAACCAUCUUCCACCGCUGAAACCAGUUGCAACCAUCUUCCAUCGAUCUUGCUGCUAGGGUUCAACCAUCUUCCACCGCUGAAACCAGUAAUGAUGUUCGUACCCCAAGCAUGUGCUGCUUCAGAUGUGAAGGAUAGGUCGGGUAUUGGGUCCUAACAAAUUUUAGCCAAAACAGGAAUCGGUAGUUGGUGGUGUACAAACAAUGCUUAGAAUAGCAGAGGACAAGUUUCACGAUGGAUAUGUUAUGCAAGGAAAACUGUACAUAUGCGACCUUUGGAUGACGUUAUAAGCUCCAUCAAUGGAUGGUAUAUGGAGCGUGGCCUUUUUGCCUUGGUUUCAGGGGUUGAGUUUCAUUGUGGGGGAAUUUUGAGGUUAGGCUAACAAUAUAUCCAUAUGCUUUCUCAAUAAAACGUAUUUCUAGGGCUAGCUGUUUAAGGUUCAUAUAACCUUAUGAAUCUUGAAUGACUCAAUUUGGUUAAAGUCUAUCGGGAACAAGUUAGGAAUGGCGCCUUCGACUGAAGAACGGGCCGUUGAAGCCAAGUUUAACGAGGAUGGAAAUACAGGUUUGAAGAGUCAGACUAAGUAAGAUGAUGAAACAGUUGCAGUUGUUGAAGGGGCACUGGAGUCAUUCAAGCUGCACUCGGGUUUUUCAGAUUGGAUUUUCUGAUCGAUUUUCUGUCACAUGCUGCGAUUGUGGGGUUCAUGGGAGGAGUGGUCAUUACCAUUGCGGUUCAGCAACUUAAAGGGUUGUUAGGCAGCAAAGAUUUCAAAAUAAAGAUUUCAUAGGAACACUUUAAAAAAUGGAGAUGUCGAUUAUAUUUGUUGAACAACUUACUAAACUAAAACUUGUGCUCAUAAAAUAGAAAAUGGAAAAUGGAACUGACAAGUGUCAAAACAUUAUUAUUUUAGAUUACUUGGUUUCAUGUUAUUUUGAUUUUUUAAAAAUCAUACAUCAUAUUUAUUA
Molecule: long non-coding RNA, 1174 nt
Filed under: Helianthus annuus (common sunflower)
Lineage: Eukaryota; Viridiplantae; Streptophyta; Magnoliopsida; Asterales; Asteraceae
Source: RNAcentral